GCCGAGGUAGCUCAGGGGUAGAGCAGCUGAUUCGUAAUCAGCAGGUCGUGGGUUCAAAUCCCAUUCUCGGCUC
Molecule: transfer RNA, 73 nt
Filed under: Candidatus Omnitrophica bacterium ADurb.Bin292
Lineage: Bacteria; Pseudomonadati; Candidatus Omnitrophota
Also listed under: 1 other name
Description: tRNA-Thr
Rfam family: tRNA
About the family: Transfer RNA (tRNA) molecules are approximately 80 nucleotides in length. Their secondary structure includes four short double-helical elements and three loops (D, anti-codon, and T loops).
Source: RNAcentral